UACGAAGGGGGCUAGCGUUGUUCGGAAUUACUGGGCGUAAAGCGCGUGUAGGCGGGUCUUUAAGUCAGGGGGGAAAUGCCAAGGCUCAACCUUGGAACUGCCUUUGAUACUGGAGAUCUUGAGUCCGGGAGAGGUGAGUGGAACUGCGAGUGUAGAGGUGAAAUUCGUAGAUAUUCGCAAGAACACCAGUGGCGAAGGCGGCUCACUGGCCCGGUACUGACGCUGAGGUGCGAAAGCGUGGGGAGCAAACAGG
This 253-nucleotide ribosomal RNA is filed under the name uncultured bacterium. RNAcentral's name for it is "partial 16S ribosomal RNA". It matches the Rfam family "Bacterial small subunit ribosomal RNA", at positions 524 to 776 of the family's 1533-position model. The record is from RNAcentral.